RNAcentral lists this unclassified non-coding RNA (146 nucleotides) under soil metagenome. RNAcentral's name for it is "partial internal transcribed spacer 1". The record is from RNAcentral.
UAAUAAGUGUUGUUAUGGCACUUUUUAAAUCCAUAUCCACCUUGUGUGCAAUGUCAGUCGAUCUUCUUCAUGGAGAUCGACCAAACAUCAACCUUUAUCUUUUAACUCUUUGUCUGAAAAAUAUUAUGAAUAAACAAUUCAAAAUA